GCACGGCUCAAGAUAAUUUAAGACCUACCAGACAUAUCAUGCAAGUGCUCAUUUGUUCCCCCAUUUCAACUAGUUUUGAAAUUUCCACAUUCUAUUUUAAUAAUGUAUUGAACUUGCUACUUAACACAUUUCAAAGGCGCCCCGUGGCUGCCGAGUGGUUAAGGUCAGGAGCAGGAGCCUCGUUACCGCCUAAAAAGAGUUACCCUCGAGGCCGGAAAUUCCGAUCUGCACCUGCAACCAGUAAAAGAAUCUUAUAUUCUAACCAAUUGUAUGCCCAUUCCUGAAAUAAUUCCCUCAGGGACACCUGGGGCAUCCUAUACCAACCAUGAAAAGCAUGAAUUAUGUCACUGUGACCUAAGAGUAGCCUUUACAAAGAAACAUACAUUUUAUAUUUCAGAUUAUCUACAUCGCUAGAAAUCCCAAAGAUAUAGCAAUAGCAUUCUACAGAUUGAUGAAAUGGGCAGGAGGCCUGGAUGAAAGCAAUACCGAUAACACUUUUUAAAAGUUUGUUGAUGCAUUUGUCAGUGGGACUGGUAAACUCAAACAUUCGUUGUCAUAUUGACAAAAUCAUUGGUCUUAUCUUUUAUAUCAUUAUCUUGUAUCUUGGUUUGCUGUUUUGCUUGAAUGUUCUGUGUAAAUUGCGUUCGUUUUUAUAGUUUUGUAGCAUAAUAGAUGGAAAUAAGUUCAUUAAAUGUUACUAAGAGAAACAUGAUUAUCAUCUGAGGUAGGCCUUUCAUAUAACAAGCUAACACAAAAUAAAAGCCUUCUGUAUCUUUGCUAUAUAAAAUACACAAUUCAGGGUUCCUCUACGCACGUGUAGAGACCAUAAACAUAUUUUUUCGGCAAUAUAUGACCAUUAUGUGUCGAUUCGCCGUAAAACCCAACUCACUCACUCAUGUACUUUCUCUUUGGGAAAAUAUAUCUAAAAAUUAACGAAGAAAAAUAAACAACGAAACAAAAGCCUUUACAAAAGCAAGUUAUUGAUACAGAGGCACAUAUCGACUUUUCUUUGAACAUCAAACGUCUGUCUUAGAGCUUGAUAACCAUCUCAGUGUUUACAUUAUAUAUUUUAACAGAACAAGCCGCUCUAAAUGAAAAUGUGCAAAAUCUCUAUUAAUAUGGCAAUAGUUUUCUUACAGAGUCAUUGACCCUGUUUCAUAGGGGCGUUCGUGUAAAUUAGAACAGGAAAAAUGCUAGAAACACAACAGUCACACAAUAUUCUAAAGAGAAAGUGUCAUUUCACUGUUAUGAAAUGGUCAAUAUAUUUCAUGGAUUAUACACUCCAUAAGUGUUUUAUAAAGUAUGAGAAAAAUAAUAAUUACAGAUGUUCAGUUUGAUAAUUUUCACGAGUAAAGAUAUAUAUUCUUGAAAACGUAUAUUUGUAAGGGAAAUGUAUAUUUUUGUGUUAUAACAUCUGACAUAAAACGUGUAGGAAGCUAAAUUGAAUUAAUAGUAUGCUGUUACCGUUGAUUGUUUCUCAAGCUUGUUUUAAUUUACGAUACUUUUCCGUUUUAAUAUGGUAACGGUAUUUUAAUUUUACAGGACACAACUGUCCCUGGCCACGUCAUGUUUUGGAGUUCUGGGAAAAGCGGAAUGAUAAAAUGUUCUGUUUGUCAAGUACGAGGAAGUUGUUCGACAAUAUAAAAAAAAUAACGCAGUUUCGUUCCAAAAGCUGUCAGACGGAUAGCAGAAUUCCUUGGCAGAACGCUGACAGACGAUGACGUCGCGAAAAUAUGUGACUACUGUUCUGUGGACAAGAUGAAAAAUAAUCCAAUGUGUAAUAUGUCCUACUGGAGAGAUUAUAAGAAAGUGAAUGAUAAUGCAGACGGUGGUUUUAUUAAUCAAGGAAAGGCGGGGGCAUGGAAAAGUUUAUUGACGCCAGAGAUUGCAAAGAAAAUUGAAAAACCUCUAGACGAAAUCCAAGGUUCUGGACCUAACUUUGGAUGACGAAUAGGUGUUAACUUCUGUUCGGGAAUAUAAAUAUUCAUUAUAGUUAUUCAUUUCAACAUAGUGUGAUUAUUUGAUUCCAAGUGUAGGAAUGAUGUAUGAUGGCACAGUGUUUAUACAAACAGUCAGCAUACAACCUUGCUGAAUUGAAAGAUAAAUAUGUUGAGGCACAGUUCUAUGGAUAGAAUCGCAUGACAGUGGUUUUGUAAAAAAAAGUCUAUAUGUGAAAGUACGUGUAUGCGGAAGUUAAGCUAUUAUAGUAUCGUUUUUCAAUAUAUCGCUGUAUGCGUAGAAACCAGUCUCAUCUCAAUGUCACAGUUAACUAAACUGCUCAGUAAGUUAAAUACGUGCACUCCCAGCACAUUUUAAAACCAGUCUUGCAGAUACAGUCUUCAGUUUUGCGCAUCUUGUUAUAACAUUCAAUGCUUAGCUAUUUUUAAUUCCAAAUUUUAGGUCAUAUCUACCGAAAUGUCAACAAGAAUUGUAAACUUCUUUUGAAAUUUAAGACGGGGAAAACGUUACAUUACCUCUUGUUAAUAAAGUGAAGAUAUGAACUCAAAUGAGAUAUGAAAUGAUUUCUGCGUAAUCGUUUUUCAUGUUAUAGUAUUUGCCCUGCAAACAUUGGUCAAAAUAGCAUUAGGUCCAAAUGACGGGGACGGAAAAGCUGGUCCGAAUUGGGUUGAAGUAAAUUUUCCUGCAUAUAAGUAUGUGAAACAAAAGUUAUUGAUAUAAGAGCUAAGCGUAUUUUUGUUCGGAACUCAGCUCAGACUGGAAUAACAGGGUUUAAUUUUUGAAGCAAGGUUCUUACAAAGCAUUCGCCGUGUAUAGCUUCCAUGCCGAAAGAGAGGCCACAUAAGUAAUAAUACAUGUACCUCUUCUAGGCGGUUUGGUGCAGCUUUUACCACACGACUGUAACAUUUCUACUGUUGUAACCUACUUUGCAUAAUUCGGACUGCUCUGCAGUCGUUAUACAGCUCUUAAGUGAAAUCUACAAUAAUUACAAAAUCAAUGUUUUUGAAUAAAAUCUACGGGUGUAAAUUUGAAAUUAUCAUGAAUGUGAUUUAAACAAAAAUACAGGUCUUUAUCAGCUGUAAAAUUGUAUACAUGAUAAAAGCGGAAGUGGCACGUUGAAUGUGGAAUAAAAUCCCAAAGGAGGUGUACAGUACGUGGAGACAUUUUGCAACCACCACACUGCACAAACAAUGACAUUGUAAGCAUAAAAACAAGGACAACUGAGAAAUUAUCUUUUAGAACAAACAUAGCUUCAGGCCAAAGCAUAGAUAUGAAACACAACACACAAAUUUCAAACAAGAUGUAUUCAAAAGUUUAAUUUAAUAAGUGUAUAGCAUUGAAUUCGAAUUCCUUUCAGUCAUGUAAAGUUCUCCCUGUGACACUGCUGAUUGAUAACUACAAUAAAUAAAAGCUGCUGCAUAAUUGUACGUAAUAACUCUUUUACUCUAUUUGUUACUUAUAAAAAUAACUACAAAGUUCAAAAGUGGACUUUUUCAGUAUUAUUAUAUUCCUGUGUUACAAGAAUCAAAAACGCAACAUAAAUCUGAAAUAUCUCUAAACCUGUAAGGAAUUGUGUAAGAUAAAUAUCUACAUGUAUUUGUCGAAAUGGGGAAGAUCUGUUUUCUUUUCCGUAAUUGCUCCGGUAGCAGUAAGCCUUAAUUUUUCGAGGAGA
This is a long non-coding RNA of Mercenaria mercenaria, 3631 nucleotides long. RefSeq lists it as uncharacterized. The transcript is spliced from 3 exons. The record is from RefSeq and is a predicted model, not a curated record. NCBI's taxonomy places the organism in Eukaryota, Metazoa, Mollusca, Bivalvia, Venerida, Veneridae.